GUCCAGACUCCUACGGGAGGCAGCAGUGGGGAAUAUUGGGCAAUGGACGCAAGUCUGACCCAGCAACGCCGCGUGAAGGAAGAAGGCUUUCGGGUUGUAAACUUCUUUUAAGGGGGAAGAGCAGAAGACGGUACCCCUUGAAUAAGCCACGGCUAACUACGUGCCAGCAGCCGCGGUAAUACGUAGGUGGCAAGCGUUGUCCGGAUUUACUGGGUGUAAAGGGCGUGUAGCCGGGUUGACAAGUCAGAUGUGAAAUCCUGCGGCUUAACCGCAGAACUGCAUUUGAAACUGUUGAUCUUGAGUACUGGAGAGGCAGACGGAAUUCCUAGUGUAGCGGUGAAAUGCGUAGAUAUUAGGAGGAACACCAGUGGCGAAGGCGGCCUGCUGGACGACAACUGACGGUGAGGCGCGAAAGCGUGGGGAGCAAACAGGAUUAGAUACCCCUGUAC
RNAcentral lists this ribosomal RNA (449 nucleotides) under uncultured bacterium. RNAcentral's name for it is "bacterial SSU rRNA". It matches the Rfam family "Bacterial small subunit ribosomal RNA", at positions 329 to 793 of the family's 1533-position model. The record is from RNAcentral.